GCUGAACUGUUAGCCUAUAAACCAACACCAACCCACACCAACACACCCUCAAACCAUUAACCAUGCCUAGUAAAGGCGAUUGAAACCACCCAACAGCGCAAUAGCACACAGUACCGCAAGGAAACACUGAAAGAUCACUAAAACUAAACGCACCAAACAGCAGAGCCAACCCCUCGUACCUUUCGCAUCAUGGUUUAGCAAGCACCCGCAGAUAAAGUGCACUACAACCUGCUCACCCGAACCCAGACGAGCUACCCAGGGGCAACCAAUAUUAAGGGUGAACCCGUCUCUGUAGCAAAAGAGUGGGAAGACCCCUAGGUAGAGGCGAAAAACCAAUCGAGCCUGGUGAUAGCUGGUUCCUCAAUUAAAUGAAUUCAGUUCAACUCUAAUACCAACCCGCUUAACCCAAAAAAUCAAUGUAAUUAUUAGAAGAUAGAAACUAAAGGUACAGCUCUAGUUUCCCUGCAACCCACAGAUCACAGUAGAAAACCAAACCCGCCUUACACCAUAGGCCCUCAAGCAGCCACCAAAAAAAAUCGCGUUAAAGCGUCAUAAUCAACUAAUCCCACACACCACCAAGAACCUCUGUAAUCACAAUUGAGCCAAGCUAUAAUAAUAGCUGCGAUACUGCUAAAACUAGUAAUAUGAGCCCACUCGUUCCGCACACCCAUACGUACCACUACAAUCACCGGACCCACCAACCUGCCACACUAACACGCUCACCCCACCCACCAACCCCGUUACCCCAACUCAGGCGUGCUCGAACAACAGACAAAAUGCCACUAAAGGAACUCGGCUAAUGUGUCCCAUCUGUUUACCAAAAACAUAGCCUUUAGCGCAACAAGUAUUAAAGGUACUGCCUGCCCAGUGACCACUUUAACGGCCGCGGUAUCCUAACCGUGCAAAGGUAGCGUAAUCACCUGUUCUCUAAAUAAGGACCUGUAUGAACGGCCAAAUGAGGACCCAACUGUCUCCACUGGCAAGUCAAUGAAACUGAUCUCUCGGUCAAAAAGCUGAGAUACUACCAUAAGACGAGAAGACCCUGUGGAACUUUAAGCCCAAUCAUUAACCCAGCAAAACUAGCCCACUAUAAUGAUACGCUUUUAGUUGGGGCAACUACGGAGAACAACCCAACCUCCGCGAACACACAACAUAAAGGCUGACAAGCCAACCUCUAUUAAACAAUGACCCAGUAAAACUGCUCACCGAACCAAGUUACCCCAGGGAUAACAGCGCAAUCCUCUUUAAGAGUCCAUAUCGCCAAGAGGGUUUACGACCUCGAUGUUGGAUCAGGACACCCAAGUGGCGCAGCCGCUACUAAAGGUUCGUUUGUUCAACGAUUAAAGUCCUACGUGAUCUGAGUUCAGACCGGAGCAAUCCAGGUCGGUUUCUAUCUAUGCAUAGCUUUCUUAGUACGAAAGGACCAAAAAGCCAGUGCCCAUAGAACCUCCACGCACUGCCACAACCUCAAGAAACCAACUAAAACACACCCAGAACAUCACUCCCCACAAUUUGGGGGUU
This 1521-nucleotide ribosomal RNA is filed under the name Ptenopus garrulus (Whistling gecko). Its description in RNAcentral is "16S rRNA". It matches the Rfam family "Bacterial large subunit ribosomal RNA". Lineage: Eukaryota; Metazoa; Chordata; Lepidosauria; Squamata; Gekkonidae. The record is from RNAcentral.